GACCUCAAAUCAGGUAGGGCUACCCGCUGAACUUAAGCAUAUCAAUAAGCGGAGGAAAAGAAACUAACAAGGAUUCCCCUAGUAGCGGCGAGCGAACCGGGACGAGCUCAAAUUUGAAAUCUGGCGCCCUCCGGGCGUCCGAGUUGUAAUCUACAGAAGCGUCUUCCGCGCCGGACCGUGUCCAAGUCCCUUGGAACAGGGUAUCAAAGAGGGUGACAAUCCCGUGCUUGACACGACGACCGGUGCUCUGUGAUGCGCUCUCCACGAGUCGAGUUGUUUGGGAAUGCAGCUCA
RNAcentral lists this ribosomal RNA (293 nucleotides) under Biatoropsis hafellneri. RNAcentral's name for it is "partial large subunit ribosomal RNA". It matches the Rfam family "Eukaryotic large subunit ribosomal RNA", at positions 1 to 289 of the family's 3401-position model. The record is from RNAcentral. Lineage: Eukaryota; Fungi; Basidiomycota; Tremellomycetes; Tremellales; Tremellaceae.